GAUGAACGCUGGCGGCGUGCCUAAUACAUGCAAGUCGAGCGAACAGAUAAGGAGCUUGCUCCUUUGAAGUUAGCGGCGGACGGGUGAGUAACACGUGGGUAACCUACCUAUAAGACUGGGAUAACUUCGGGAAACCGGAGCUAAUACCGGAUAACAUUUAGAACCGCAUGGUUCUAAAGUGAAAGAUGGUUUUGCUAUCACUUAUAGAUGGACCCGCGCCGUAUUAGCUAGUUGGUAAGGUAACGGCUUACCAAGGCGACGAUACGUAGCCGACCUGAGAGGGUGAUCGGCCACACUGGAACUGAGACACGGUCCAGACUCCUACGGGAGGCAGCAGUAGGGAAUCUUCCGCAAUGGGCGAAAGCCUGACGGAGCAACGCCGCGUGAGUGAUGAAGGGUUUCGGCUCGUAAAACUCUGUUAUUAGGGAAGAACAAAUGUGUAAGUAACUGUGCACAUCUUGACGGUACCUAAGCAGAAAGCCACGGCUAACUACGU
Molecule: ribosomal RNA, 496 nt
Filed under: uncultured bacterium
Lineage: Bacteria
Description: partial 16S ribosomal RNA
Rfam family: Bacterial small subunit ribosomal RNA
Source: RNAcentral